RNAcentral lists this unclassified non-coding RNA (1283 nucleotides) under Hevea brasiliensis (rubber tree). The record is from RNAcentral. Lineage: Eukaryota; Viridiplantae; Streptophyta; Magnoliopsida; Malpighiales; Euphorbiaceae.
UUUAUAAAUCAUUAAUUUCCUAGAUUUAAAAUGAAUUUAAAAAUAGUUCAAGUGACACUCAGAACAUAUUGUUGGUACAAGAAUUCUAUAAAGUGCAUCCAACUGAUUGGAUUGCAUGCUCAACAACCAAGAACCCUUUUACAUUUUUGUCUAAUUUACCUUGGCUUCCUUCGCAUUCCCAUCCGAGAUUUUGCAUAUUCUAAUCGCAUGCCUUCACCUGUCGAUGAUGAGUAGAGAAUUGUGCCUUGCAGAUGAUUUAGUGCCCCAGUUGAACAGGAAGUAUCCUGGAAAUCAACAAAUGCAACUGGAGACCCAUAAGUGCUUUGCAUCUUCAAUUUCAAAAACCCAGGACAUCUUGAAAAUACUUGAAUUAGUUCUUGCUCUGUACAAUUUGGUCCCAGAUUAGCCACAAAAAGUGUCGGACAUGGGGGUGAUGAAGAAUUAGUCAAAUUUGCCCCUGUUGACUCACUUACAGCUCGGCCAUCAAAGUUCCCAUGACUUUGUGCAGAUGGAUAACCAAUCGUGUUGUAAGCAGAAUUACCCAUUCCAGGCAAGUGGACGCUGCCAAAACCUGAAUCAAGAGUACCACGUGCUAUUGCAGGAGAAGCUUUAGCUUUCUUAUCCAAGCCAGACCAUUCAUCAUCUGUUCUUGAGCGCUUAGAUCUGGAAUUAGAUUUUGCAAGGUCAAUAUAUAGGGUUGAACCCUUCUCAAGAUCAAAAACCAUCCCAUUCAGUGCAUGCAUAGCUGCAACUGCAGAUGGUUGAUCCGUGAACGUAGCAAAGGCGAAUGGCUGAGAAGUCUGGGUAGGGCUUCGGAGAUGAGAAGACUCGUAACCAGGGAAUUCCCGGAAAAGAUUGUAGAUUUCGCGAGGCUUGACGUCCUCUGGUAGACCCGCCACGAAAAGCGUACGUACCAGAUCGUGAGUGGCAUGCGGGGUAUAGGGAAGGGCGUAGGAGGCAAAAGGCUGAUGUGGCUGUGGCUGAGGGAUAUAUGGAGGAGGUGGCGGCGGCGGUGGAGCAGGAGCAGGCGCCGGCAGAGGUGGUGGUGGGGGUUGGUAGUAGGUGGGGUAGUGACCGGGCGGUGGUGGUGGGUAGUAAGCAGCCAUACUUUCAUCCAUUGAAAGGAAUCCAAGAUUCCGAUUGGGGUUGGUGUUUUAAUCGCAAGUGUUUUAAUCGCAAGUGCGCUGAUGAUUGGGCCGAGGAGCGAGGGCUCGCAAACCCAUCAUAUUUCAUGUCUCCGACUGUGAGCGUUCCUAAAUUCUCCCAUGUUGCGCAUCAUCAUC